GACGAACGCUGGCGGCGUGCUUAACACAUGCAAGUCGAACGGAAAGGCCCUGCUUGCAGGGUACUCGAGUGGCGAACGGGUGAGUAACACGUGGGUGAUCUGCCCUGCACUUCGGGAUAAGCUUGGGAAACUGGGUCUAAUACCGGAUAGGAACCAUCUUUAGUGUGGUGGUUGGAAAGUUUUUUCGGUGUAGGAUGAGCUCGCGGCCUAUCAGCUUGUUGGUGGGGUAAUGGCCUACCAAGGCGGCGACGGGUAGCCGGCCUGAGAGGGUGUACGGCCACAUUGGGACUGAGAUACGGCCCAGACUCCUACGGGAGGCAGCAGUGGGGAAUAAUGCACAAUGGGCGCAAGCCUGAUGCAGCGACGCCGCGUGGGGGAUGAAGGCCUUCGGGUUGUAAACUCCUUUCGCUAGGGACGAAGCUUUGUUGUGACGGUACCUAGAUAAGAAGCACCGGCUAACUACGUG
RNAcentral lists this ribosomal RNA (466 nucleotides) under uncultured bacterium. RNAcentral's name for it is "partial 16S ribosomal RNA". It matches the Rfam family "Bacterial small subunit ribosomal RNA", at positions 28 to 507 of the family's 1533-position model. The record is from RNAcentral.